This 253-nucleotide ribosomal RNA is filed under the name uncultured bacterium. RNAcentral's name for it is "partial 16S ribosomal RNA". It matches the Rfam family "Bacterial small subunit ribosomal RNA", at positions 524 to 776 of the family's 1533-position model. The record is from RNAcentral.
UACGUAGGGUGCGAGCGUUGUCCGGAUUUAUUGGGCGUAAAGGGCUCGUAGGCGGCGUGUCGCGUCGGGAGUGAAAGCCCGUUGCUUAACGGCGGGUUGGCUUUCGGUACGGGCAUGCUGGAGUGCGGCAGGGGAGACUGGAAUUCCUGGUGUAGCGGUGGAAUGCGCAGAUAUCAGGAGGAACACCGGUGGCGAAGGCGGGUCUCUGGGCAGUAACUGACGUGAGGAGCGAAAAGCAUGGGGAGCGAACAGG